RNAcentral lists this ribosomal RNA (432 nucleotides) under Triticum aestivum (bread wheat). Its description in RNAcentral is "partial small subunit ribosomal RNA". Lineage: Eukaryota; Viridiplantae; Streptophyta; Magnoliopsida; Poales; Poaceae. The record is from RNAcentral.
AUGAACAAUAACAAGGCACUCGGGUCGGAUAGUGUUCCUGCAGAGUUCUACCAACACUGUUGGGAAAUAGUGAAGGAUGACAUUAUGAAUCUAUUUCAUGCUUUUCAUGAGGGGAGAUUGGAUGUGUAUAGGCUGAAUUAUGGCAUUAUCACUCUUCUCCCCAAAAUCUCCGGAGCUAAUAAAAUUCAGCAGUUGAGGCCAAUCUGUCUGCUGAGAUGCCCCUAUAAGCUGAUUACAAAAGUUCUAGAUAACAGAGCGGCUCUUUUUGCUGAUAUUAUGUUUAGUAAACAUCAAAAUGCUUUUAUCAAAAACAGGAAUAUCAUGGAUGGGGUUUUAUCUCUGCAUGAGAUUCUUCACCAUACCUAUGUCAAGAAAAAGUGUGGUAUUGUCAUUAAGCUCGAUUUUGAAAAGGCAUAUGACAAGGUUAACUAG